AACGAACGCUGGCGGCAUGCCUAACACAUGCAAGUCGAACGAAGCCUUCGGGCUUAGUGGCGCACGGGUGCGUAACGCGUGGGAAUCUGCCCUUUGGUUCGGAAUAACAGUUGGAAACGACUGCUAAUACCGGAUGAUGACGAAAGUCCAAAGAUUUAUCGCCAGAGGAUGAGCCCGCGUAGGAUUAGCUAGUUGGUGUGGUAAAGGCGCACCAAGGCGACGAUCCUUAGCUGGUCUGAGAGGAUGAUCAGCCACACUGGGACUGAGACACGGCCCAAACUCCUACGUGAGGCAGCAGUGGGGAAUAUUGGACAAUGGGCGAAAGCCUGAUCCAGCAAUGCCGCGUGAGUGAUGAAGGCCCUAGGGUUGUAAAGCUCUUUUACCCGGGAUGAUAAUGACAGUACCGGGAGAAUAAGCCCCGGCUAACUCCGUGCCAGCAGCCGCCGCCG
This 449-nucleotide ribosomal RNA is filed under the name uncultured bacterium. RNAcentral describes it as "partial 16S ribosomal RNA". It matches the Rfam family "Bacterial small subunit ribosomal RNA", at positions 29 to 523 of the family's 1533-position model. The record is from RNAcentral.